Paramacrobiotus metropolitanus is the source of this 2297-nucleotide long non-coding RNA. RefSeq lists it as uncharacterized. The record is from RefSeq and is a predicted model, not a curated record. Lineage: Eukaryota; Metazoa; Tardigrada; Eutardigrada; Parachela; Macrobiotidae. The transcript is spliced from 3 exons.
CUGAAAUUGUCCAGUUUCAUAGUUACAUAUUGUAAACUGAGUCUUGGAAAUAAUUUUAUGUAUCGAUAGAAUGGGCAGCCGACGCCGGAUUGUGAUACGAGCGCAGAAACAACCGAAACAUUCUCAGUUUCCGUGUAAUAAGCCAAAGAGCUACUCUGCAUAAUCUGAAAAGUCUACGACAAAAGUUAUAAUAAAUAAUAAAUAAGCUAAAAAAUUAUAAUAAAUAAUAAAUAAGCUUUUCUUAACUUUUUAUCGGCAUUCCACCUUUUAAGCUUUAGGCUACACAGGCGGCUUUUUCGAUGAGAGUUCAUAGAAGAUCGGAAAAUAAGCAGAAUUUUUAUACAUAUAAAAGCGUGUUUUACUUAUGCGCCGGUACACUUUCUGCUGUAUUUCGCAAACUUCAUUACAAUUUGACCCCAACUCUAAGACUCUAAAGAAAUGCACAAAAAAGCAAACAAAUGCAUAACGAAACAAACAGAAGUACUGCACAACCGUGCCGCUAUUUUAUACCCAUGAAUGCGCUCGAAUCCCGGCUUGUCUUAACGCCAGAAAAAUCUCAUACGUAUCUUUAAGAUACAGAUCCUUAAUCGGUCCCCAGAACGCCGACAUGGGCGUGGCAUUCACAUGAUGUUCAAAAUAAAAAUCAUCAAUCAGAACCUGCAAUUGUGGAUCAGCCAGUAACUGCCGCACCAAACGGUUCUCAAUCUCCGGCGUGUCAAUAUCCAUCUUGACCACGACAAAGUCCUCGGCGCUGACGACGCGCUGUAACGUAUUCCACGGAUUGCGAUGGCUGUCGGGGUUGGCGGACGCCGGGAAAUUGUACCAGUGGUACGUGUGAUGCAGCUCCGCCGGGAUAGAUUGGAAGAUGGUUUCGGGGUCGUAGGGUUUGGCUUCCCAGGCGAAGAUCCGGUGGAAAUCCACGCCGCGCAGCUUGUACUGAUCGACUAUCCAUUUCUGGCUGGCACCGCCUACAAAUUAAGUACAAAUCAGUGUGCACAGCCCGGUGAUUUAUUUCGCCCUUCUAAAAGGUAUUGCGCACUUCGGGACGGAUGCCCAAAGAGCUGUAUCCGUCGAUAAAAUCCCUGGCUGCGACGAUGCUGUUGAAAAAGACCAGAUAGCGCAGUCUGAUCUGUUUGUGCUGCAGAAUGCGGCAUAAAGCCAGUAGGCUUUGAUGGUGGCGGCCGUGUAGAUAAAUAACGCUGGUCGCUGCUGAGGCGCAGUGGUGUACGGCCAGCGCCAGACUAUACGAACUGGCGAUGAAUUUUCCUUCGCGGAAGACAAGUUCUCUUUCCAGGGAUUUCCAGCUGAGGACGUCAGCCCAGAACCUCGAUACACUAAUAAAAAAUAAUUUUACUGGGUCAUUUAGCAGAAUACCUUGAACGAAUAACGCAUUUCCGGAGGAAUAAAGCCAAAUCUGCCGCACAUUUUGACGAUCUGUCGUUGACAUGCGUCGAGGUACGCGCACACAUCGCCAAACAGAUCCACCGUCAGUUCUUCAAAGCCAAACCAGUCUUCCAUCGAGCUAGAAUCUGUUCGCGUCGGAUUGUCAAUAAUAUUCACAGUUAAAUUUCUCUGCUGCAGUUCCGCCGCAAAACGUCGCACUUCCGGCGUGAAGGACUCGAUCAUACUCGUCCUACAGAUCACCCAGACACCGUCCAUCUCGACACCUACCAGCACGGUUGCGGUUUGGUCCGUCCACUCCCAUUCCGCCUGGAGGUCCUGCACGCGAGCAACGGCUUCCGCACAAAUCUGCUGCAAAUUAAUCUUGAUUUUCUGGAAGGUCUCCGGUCGAACCGCUCGCCGUUUCUUCCGCCGGCGCAACCGGCGGUGCAUCCAGUACGGGCCGUCAUUGACGACCAACCGACCGCUCUCGGCGGUGUCUACCGUGGCAAGAUGCCAGUGACUGGACGGGCGCUGCGCCUUCCCAGUGUUGGGUUGCCACUGUAGCAGUUGACAGGGAUACCAGCGCUCGGGAGCGUCGUCGGUUAUCCGCAGACGAACCUCCAGUUCCGCAGUUCUUGAGGUUUUCUGGAUGUCGUCAUCAGAAUCAUCGUCGCUGACGAGAUACGCCCGUUCGAAAGGAACGGUCUCCUGUUGGCGCUGACGACAUUGGAAGUUAACGGUCAGAUGUGUGGGGUUGCAGUCAAUAAGACUGCCGCGUGUCAAGUUGCCGUCGGCGUCCAGGACAUCGAGCAGCAAUUCUUGUCGACUACAGGCGUACUUCCGUUGAUAAUGUAUAUCCAUUAUGAUUUAUUUGCUGUCGAAAUGCCAGCGCAUAUAUUUUCUGCGCAUUGAAG